UUUGGGAUAGGUCAGUUGGUAGAACAUGAGACUCUUAAUCUCAGGGUUUUGGGUUUGAGUCCCAAGUUGGGCAAAA
RNAcentral lists this transfer RNA (76 nucleotides) under Podarcis lilfordi (Lilford's wall lizard). Its description in RNAcentral is "tRNA.Lys". The stretch from base 8 to 65 matches the Rfam family "tRNA", at positions 8 to 63 of the family's 71-position model. From Rfam's summary of the family: Transfer RNA (tRNA) molecules are approximately 80 nucleotides in length. The record is from RNAcentral. Lineage: Eukaryota; Metazoa; Chordata; Lepidosauria; Squamata; Lacertidae.